UAGCUCAGCUGGUAGAGCAGUACACUUUUAAUGUACGGGUCCUGGGUUCGAAUCC
This 55-nucleotide transfer RNA is filed under the name Hymenobacter sp. RNAcentral's name for it is "tRNA-Lys". It matches the Rfam family "tRNA", at positions 8 to 60 of the family's 71-position model. From Rfam's summary of the family: Transfer RNA (tRNA) molecules are approximately 80 nucleotides in length. The record is from RNAcentral. Lineage: Bacteria; Pseudomonadati; Bacteroidota; Cytophagia; Cytophagales; Hymenobacteraceae.